Molecule: ribosomal RNA, 836 nt
Filed under: uncultured bacterium
Lineage: Bacteria
Description: bacterial SSU rRNA
Rfam family: Bacterial small subunit ribosomal RNA
Source: RNAcentral
CAGUCGAGGGGUAUAGUUCUUCGGAACUAGAGACCGGCGCACGGGUGCGUAACGCGUAUGCAAUCUACCUUUCACAGAGGGAUAGCCCAGAGAAAUUUGGAUUAAUACCUCAUAGUAUUAUAGAAUGGCAUCAUUUUAUAAUUAAAGUCACAACGGUGAAAGAUGAGCAUGCGUCCCAUUAGCUAGAUGGUAAGGUAACGGCUUACCAUGGCAACGAUGGGUAGGGGUCCUGAGAGGGAGAUCCCCCACACUGGUACUGAGACACGGACCAGACUCCUACGGGAGGCAGCAGUGAGGAAUAUUGGACAAUGGGCGCAAGCCUGAUCCAGCCAUGCCGCGUGCAGGAUGACGGUCCUAUGGAUUGUAAACUGCUUUUGUACGAGAAGAAACACUCCUUCGUGAAGGAGCUUGACGGUAUCGUAAGAAUAAGGAUCGGCUAACUCCGUGCCAGCAGCCGCGGUAAUACGGAGGAUCCAAGCGUUAUCCGGAAUCAUUGGGUUUAAAGGGUCCGUAGGCGGUUUAGUAAGUCAGUGGUGAAAGCCCAUCGCUCAACGGUGGAACGGCCAUUGAUACUGCUAGACUUGAAUUAUUAGGAAGUAACUAGAAUAUGUAGUGUAGCGGUGAAAUGCUUAGAGAUUACAUGGAAUACCAAUUGCGAAGGCAGGUUACUACUAAUAUAUUGACGCUGAUGGACGAAAGCGUGGGUAGCGAACAGGAUUAGAUACCCUGGUAGUCCACGCCGUANACGAUGGAUACUAGCUGUUGGGAGCGAUCUCAGUGGCUAAGCGAAAGUGAUAAGUAUCCCACCUGGGGAGUACGUUCGCAAGAAUGAAACU